UACGUAGGGCGCAAGCGUUAUCCGGAAUUAUUGGGCGUAAAGAGCUCGUAGGCGGUUUGUCGCGUCUGCCGUGAAAAGUCCCGGGGGCUCAACUCCGGAUCUGCGGUGGGUACGGGCAGACUAGAGUGAUGUAGGGGAGACUGGAAUUCCUGGUGUAGCGGUGAAAUGCGCAGAUAUCAGGAGGAACACCGAUGGCGAAGGCAGGUCUCUGGGCAUUAACUGACGCUGAGGAGCGAAAGCAUGGGGAGCGAACAGG
This 256-nucleotide ribosomal RNA is filed under the name uncultured bacterium. RNAcentral describes it as "partial 16S ribosomal RNA". It matches the Rfam family "Bacterial small subunit ribosomal RNA", at positions 524 to 776 of the family's 1533-position model. The record is from RNAcentral.